This is a long non-coding RNA of Lathyrus oleraceus (garden pea), 1182 nucleotides long. RefSeq lists it as uncharacterized. NCBI's taxonomy places the organism in Eukaryota, Viridiplantae, Streptophyta, Magnoliopsida, Fabales, Fabaceae. The transcript is spliced from 2 exons. The record is from RefSeq and is a predicted model, not a curated record.
UUCAAUAUUAUCCUUUAAUCAAGAAAAUAAUCUUGAUUACCAAAAGAGGCAUCAAACUAGAAACACACAUCCAAACAGUACUGGGCUCAGGAAUAUGGGAACCAGUCCACACGAAUGGGGGUGCAGGGAUAUCCCGUUUAGGUCUUAGGCACCAAGCAAGUCCAUACCCGAUCCACCAGCUUAAGCAAAAAAGAACAAUAAACAUCUCAUGCCAAGACGUGAGCUACAUCGACGGCUUUUACACAAACGGAAACCGGGAACGGCACGAUCCUCCUACCGUCAUCCUUUCGUACUUCACGACCUCCACGUUUGGAAUCAACGAUCAAUGCCAUGGAUUCACAUUUAGCAGCCGACUUCAAAUCUAAAUCGUCUUCAGAUAUCGUAUUCGGAAUCAACAUUUUCGAUAGACGAUUGCGGCGAACUCCAGAUCUGAACUCGAUUCAUCCCUCAGCCGUAAAUACCAAUAUAAAUCAAUCAAGAACAACAGACAUGAUAACUCGCAUGCGUGUGAAGCUAAGGCAAAGGUGGAAAGGAGAUAACGCUUACUCACCCGAUCGGGACCAGGUUGUUUCCGAGGUAGAAGACGUAGUUUUCGUCGGAAUCCAGAAAUGGUGGUUAAAGAUCCGCGAUGGUAGGAGAUGAUGACAAGAAAAGAGAUGGAUGAAGGUUGUUGUGAAUUGGAAAAUGGAUUGAUCGAAGGUUUUGGUUGAAGAAUUGGGAUUUUGUGAUGAGGCUAAAGAAUCUCGGUUGGGAAGAGGAGGUUGAAGUGGUGGUUAACGGUUUUUGUGAGUUUGUUACGGUUGUUGAAGGAAUUGAAGAGAGGAAGAAGAAGAAGGAUCUCGAUGAAGAGAAGUGAAUUGAUUUUUUAUAGAGUUAUGAGAGGGAUUGAAAGUUUGUUAGAAAAAAAUCUGUGUGAGAAAUUCUGUUAUCGAAAUGGCUUGUGCAGUUUGGCUUAAUUUUUCUGUUAUUUCUAUGCUUGGAUUGCGGUUUACCGGCUUGGCUCGUGUGCUUUGAAGCGUGUUGGCUAGCUUGGCAUGCGUUUCAGCUUUUUUCGCACCGCUUUGUGAAGCUUGCUGCUUGCGUUUGAUUAGCAGCUUUUGUACUGCGUUCCAAUUUGGUUGUGCUUAUUGAAAUAAACUAAAGUAAGUAGAUUAAUAAAAUUGGAUGAUGGAUUAUGAUUAA